This 439-nucleotide ribosomal RNA is filed under the name uncultured bacterium. RNAcentral describes it as "partial 16S ribosomal RNA". It matches the Rfam family "Bacterial small subunit ribosomal RNA", at positions 339 to 795 of the family's 1533-position model. The record is from RNAcentral.
CUACGGGUCGCACCAGUGGGGAAUAUUGCACAAUGGAGGAAACUCUGAUGCAGCAACGCCGCGUGGAGGAUGACACUUUUCGGAGCGUAAACUCCUUUUAUAUAGGAAGAAGAUGACGGUACUAUAUGAAUAAGCGCCGGCUAACUCCGUGCCAGCAGCCGCGGUAAUACGGAGGGCGCAAGCGUUACUCGGAAUCACUGGGCGUAAAGAGCGUGUAGGCGGAUUAAAAAGUCAGAAGUGAAAUCCUAUAGCUUAACUAUAGAACUGCUUCUGAAACUCUUAAUCUAGAAUAUGGGAGAGGUAGAUGGAAUUUCUGGUGUAGUGGUAAAAUCCGUAGAGAUCAGAAGGAAUACCGAUUGCGAAGGCGAUCUACUAGAACAUUAUUGACGCUGAGACGCGAAAGCGUGGGGAGCAAACAGGAUUAAAUACCCGAGUAGUC